This is a long non-coding RNA of Pantherophis guttatus, 845 nucleotides long. RefSeq lists it as uncharacterized. The record is from RefSeq and is a predicted model, not a curated record. NCBI's taxonomy places the organism in Eukaryota, Metazoa, Chordata, Lepidosauria, Squamata, Colubridae.
CCCUUGUAAAUCACUUCCAUCACUUUUUCUCCCAAGGAGUCUUCUGCAAAGUAUCUAGCAGCCCCUUCUAGCUGCACACCAUGGUGUGUCCCCAUCCACAGGUCACCCCUGCCUCCUCUGCUGCCCCUCUACCGCCUCUCUCAGAGUUUCUUCAGCCUCCAUCAGCCCUCUUGCCCUUCCUAGUACUUGUCUGUGGCACACCCUUCUCCUACAGCACCCAUGCAAAACCCACCUGGUUCCCUUACCUGGGAUUUCUGCCUCUUCCCAACCCAUGUGCUGUGGAGUUACAGCUGGGAUUGCCAUUGCUAAGUGAUGCGGUCAUCUGAUAUCAUGCUUUACAACUGCAUCACUUAGCGAUAGCAAUCUCGGUCCUUAUUGCUGUCGUCAUAACUUGUGGACUACCUAUAGACACCACGUUACCCAUAGACUCAAUUGAUGAGCUUCCUGCUCCUGCAAAGUAGCCAGUCGAGAAAGAAAUAUACUACAGGCAAAAUGAACAUCACCUUAGAUAUCAGAACAAAGAUUCCAUAAUCUCCAUAUGAUGAAAUGAUGGAAACCGAAAGUAGAAUUAGACUGUAUUCUCUCUGAUCCACCAAGAUCAGUAACAACCACCAUUGCAUAGUAUCUGCUAAGUUCAACCUGGAUAGAUGGUCCAAAGGACAUCAUGGCUAAGGAUAUCAAAAACUAGCUUAUUUUCCGCUCCUAAGGCAUCCUCAAACUGACUACGAAUGUUUUCAUCCUACUGCUGGACCUGAUGUAUAAUCGGAAAGAAUCUAAAGAAACAAUGGAAUUGGGACACCACUACAAGUUCCAAUGACUUUAUGAACAAAGAUUUUGUAGUGCUU